RNAcentral lists this non-coding RNA (31 nucleotides) under Rattus norvegicus (Norway rat). Lineage: Eukaryota; Metazoa; Chordata; Mammalia; Rodentia; Muridae. The record is from RNAcentral.
UUUUAGAAUGCAGAGAAGAAACUAAGGUGGU